Molecule: non-coding RNA, 332 nt
Organism: Hydra vulgaris (swiftwater hydra)
Lineage: Eukaryota; Metazoa; Cnidaria; Hydrozoa; Anthoathecata; Hydridae
Source: RefSeq, a predicted model, not a curated record
AUCACCACAUAAAGUUGAUUCAAAAAAUACAAUGCAAUUUUAACUUCAUUACUUCCAUCUAAGAAAUCUUUAAGUACGCUCAUAUUACUAAGCUUCAUCCACGUCAUCGCUGCCAUCUGGCGAAACAGAGUGAAGACCAAGACCUCCUCUUUUUGCGUUGAAGCCACCCUGGGCCUAAAUCAAAAAGGGCCUUUCGCAUAUGGGCCCAGAAUGAAGGUAAAGACCUGUCUUAUUUUAAAUACAAAAAUCCUUGUGGCAGAAAGAAUGGCAGAGGAUUUCGAAAUGUAAAUAUUAACAACUAAACAUAUACUUAUCAAUAAGUUUAUAUAGAU